This is a transfer RNA of Cylindrobasidium torrendii FP15055 ss-10, 97 nucleotides long. It matches the Rfam family "tRNA". From Rfam's summary of the family: Transfer RNA (tRNA) molecules are approximately 80 nucleotides in length. Their secondary structure includes four short double-helical elements and three loops (D, anti-codon, and T loops). The record is from Rfam. Lineage: Eukaryota; Fungi; Basidiomycota; Agaricomycetes; Agaricales; Physalacriaceae.
GGCCUGAUGGUCUAGUAGCAUGAUUCCUGCUUUGGGCGCAUCCCGAAAGGGAAGUGGCACUUGCAGGAGGUCACGGGUUCAAUUCCCGUUCAGGCCC